ACGGCUCAGUAACACGUGGACAACCUACCCUAUGGAAGGGGAUAAUCCCGGGAAACUGGGGAUAAUACCCUAUAGACUAUGGAUGCUGGAAUGCUCUGUAGCCGAAAGGUCCGCCGCCAUAGGAUGGGUCUGCGGCCGAUUAGGUUGUUGUUGGGGUAACGGCCCAACAAGCCUGUAAUCGGUACGGGUUGUGGGAGCAAGAGCCCGGAGAUGGAUUCUGAGACACGAAUCCAGGCCCUACGGGGCGCAGCAGGCGCGAAAACUUUGCAAUGCGGGAAACCGUGACAAGGGAACUCUGAGUGCCCGUAAAAUCGGGCUGUCCAUCGGUUUAAAUAACCGGUGAAGAAAGGGCCGGGCAAGACCGGUGCCAGCCGCCGCGGUAAUACCGGCGGCUCGAGUGGUGGCCACUAUUACUGGGCUUAAAGCGUUCGUAGCUGGUUUGUUAAGUCUCUGGGGAAAUCUUCCGGCUUAACCGGAAGGCGUCUCAGGGAUACUGGCAGACUAGGGACCGGGAGAGGUGAGAGGUACUCCAGGGGUAGGAGUGAAAUCCUGUAAUCCUUGGGGGACCACCUGUGGCGAAGGCGUCUCACCAGAACGGCUCCGACAGUGAGGGACGAAAGCUGGGGGAGCAAACCGGAUUAGAUACCCGGGUAGUCCCAGCCGUAAACGAUGUGCGUUAGGUGUAUCGGUGACCACGAGUCACCGAGGUGCCGAAGAGAAA
This 721-nucleotide ribosomal RNA is filed under the name uncultured Methanomicrobiaceae archaeon. RNAcentral's name for it is "bacterial SSU rRNA". It matches the Rfam family "Archaeal small subunit ribosomal RNA", at positions 85 to 811 of the family's 1478-position model. The record is from RNAcentral. Lineage: Archaea; Methanobacteriati; Methanobacteriota; Methanomicrobia; Methanomicrobiales; Methanomicrobiaceae.